CCCUUUCAGCAGCAGGAUUUUCUUUUUCCUGGCAUCAGCAAUUCCAGAAAUUCCACUUUCAUCUUCUAAUACUUCAGUUCCUGAUGCAGAAGCUAAAGUUACAGCUUUAUCAGAAAGAUNNNUCGCUUAGGAACCAAAAUGUACGUUGAUUUUUCUUUUCCACUUGUGCUUUUCGCAGAGUCCCUCAACACAUACAUUGUGGUUGAAAGCCUCUUCUUGUCAGAACUUCGUUUGGA
Molecule: unclassified non-coding RNA, 236 nt
Filed under: Hevea brasiliensis (rubber tree)
Lineage: Eukaryota; Viridiplantae; Streptophyta; Magnoliopsida; Malpighiales; Euphorbiaceae
Source: RNAcentral